AAGGUAACGGCUUACCAAGGCAACGAUGCAUAGCCGACCUGAGAGGGUGAUCGGCCACACUGGAACUGAGACACGGUCCAGACUCCUACGGGAGGCAGCAGUAGGGAAUCUUCCGCAAUGGGCGAAAGCCUGACGGAGCAACGCCGCGUGAGUGAUGAAGGUCUUCGGAUCGUAAAACUCUGUUAUUAGGGAAGAACAUAUGUGUAAGUAACUGUGCACAUCUUGACGGUACCUAAUCAGAAAGCCACGGCUAACUACGUGCCAGCAGCCGCGGUAAUACGUAGGUGGCAAGCGUUAUCCGGAAUUAUUAGGCGUAAAGCGCGCGUAGGCGGUUUUUUAAGUCUGAUGUGAAAGCCCACGGCUCAACCGUGGAGGGUCAUUGGAAACUGGAAAACUUGAGUGCAGAAGAGGAAAGUGGAAUUCCAUGUGUAGCGGUGAAAUGCGCAGAGAUAUGGAGGAACACCAGUGGCGAAGGCGACUUUCUGGUCUGUAACUGACGCUGAUGUGCGAAAGCGUGGGGAUCAAACAGGAUUAGA
Molecule: ribosomal RNA, 536 nt
Filed under: uncultured Staphylococcus sp.
Lineage: Bacteria; Bacillati; Bacillota; Bacilli; Caryophanales; Staphylococcaceae
Description: bacterial SSU rRNA
Rfam family: Bacterial small subunit ribosomal RNA
Source: RNAcentral